CAAACGCUGCAGCGAGGGAGUUACCAUGGAAACAGGGCAGCAGCUCUCCAACUGACAGCUGCAACACUGCGUCUCUCGCUGCUGUUUUCACCAUUUUCAGGAGUAACAUUUCUACAACAGAAGAGAAGCUCCAAGAUAUCUAAAUUUCUGAAGGAAGCUGCUGACAGAGAUGUGGGAAACAUAGGAUUCCCAUCCCAGUGUUACUACGGCUUGGAUCCAGCCUCACUUGUGGUUACUUCAGAUGAAGACCCCAGAUGAUGGCAACUAUAGAUGAACAUACCAACCUGACAAAUGUUAUGUAUUGUCAUCAUUGCCUUAAAGCAUACGUUGAGUGAUUUUCAACCCACUUUGUAUCGUUACUAUGAUGGUAAUAUAUGUGAACGAACAAUGUUUAAUCUUUCUCUGAGUUCCAUGAGAUACACCCAUUUAUUUGUCAGCCAAAUAAUAUUUUGCAUUAUCCGAAUAAUGUUUAUUUACAUAUUACAGACUUUGUGACAGUAUAAAGUGGAUUUAAAUUCCCCGAACCUACCCUUUAAUGGUUGUCCCUUUAACUGAACAUGUGCUUUGAACACAUAACUUGUAUUAUCUUAGAGUUAUUGACAGACAUUAAUUUGUUGCCAGAAGAUGCUCCCCAUUGAGUCACAGUCACCUCAGGCUGUUGAUAGGAUUUUUUUUUUUUGAAACCUUGAAAUUUUCUAAAGCUGCUUUGAUUGUGAAAAGCAUUGUACCCUUACAACAGUUAACCAUGUUUUUACUAUGGUAAAACUAGUAAUCAUAACUGUAGUAAUCAGGGUUUUUUAGUUUUUCUCAAACUAAGGUUUUGAUAUCAUGGUUCUACAAUAGUAAUAUUUUAGUAAUGCUUGAGUAAAACUGUGGUAUCCAUAGUUUUUGAAACCAUGGUGAAGUUUGUAGUUACUAUAGGUUUACUACUAUGCUGUAGUAAGACCAUGGUUAUGGUAGUUAGUUACUGUGAAUUUACUACAACAAUCAUAGUUAAACCAUGGUUAAUUUUGUGGUUGACUUUUGUAUGGACAUAUGUGAACUGAAUGCUUCUAUUUGAAAGUCACCUUGGAUAAAACCGUCUGAUACAUAUACUGUAAAUGCAUUUGUAUGUUUAAUCUGUUUACUGAAAAUAAACUCCCGGGUCACUUCGUGCGGCUGCACUGUCUGUAGUUGUGCCACUGACCCGUGAUAUAGGA
Onychostoma macrolepis is the source of this 1199-nucleotide long non-coding RNA. RefSeq lists it as uncharacterized. The record is from RefSeq and is a predicted model, not a curated record. The transcript is spliced from 3 exons. Lineage: Eukaryota; Metazoa; Chordata; Actinopteri; Cypriniformes; Cyprinidae.